RNAcentral lists this long non-coding RNA (1562 nucleotides) under Sus scrofa (pig). Its description in RNAcentral is "lncRNA (ENSSSCG00040032440.1, ENSSSCG00050031441.1)". Lineage: Eukaryota; Metazoa; Chordata; Mammalia; Artiodactyla; Suidae. The record is from RNAcentral.
UCUUCUGGGCGCGCGGGCCCAGCUCCCGCUGCGCCAUCAAUGCGGCCCUGUGUGCAGCCCCGCCCCGCCCGCGGGAUCGGGACGCCCCGCCCCGCCCCGCCCCCGCCCGCGGGGAUAAGGAGGCCUCCGCCCUUCCAGCCGCGGAGGAGCUGCAGCCGGAGGUGUCGCGAGCCGCAUCCAGAGCCGCUGACGAGGACCCGGGAUGUCGGAGCUGGAGAAGGCCGUGGUGGCCCUGAUUGACGUCUUCCAUCAGUAUUCUGGGAGGGAGGGGGACAAGCACAAGCUGAAGAAAUCCGAACUCAAGGAGCUCAUCAACAGCGAGCUUUCCCACUUCCUGGAGGAAAUCAAAGAGCAGGAGGUCGUGGACAAAGUCAUGGAGACACUGGACAGCGAUGGAGAUGGCGAGUGUGACUUCCAGGAAUUCAUGGCUUUUGUCGCCAUGGUUACCACUGCCUGCCACGAGUUCUUUGAACACGAGUGAACUGGAGAAAACCGACACGCAGUUCCUGCAGCGGAGACGUGCGCGUCGUGCAGGGCAGUGGAGGCAGGGCUUUGGCAGGACAGUAGGCGCUGAGCUUUCCGGCUGUGUUGUAGCUAAUUAGGAAGCUUGAUUUGCUUUGUGAAUGGAAAAUUUAAACCUCUUUCCAGGGGCAGUUUUUAGUGGCCCCCGUCAUUGCUCCUGCAAUAGUAAGCAUACAGUUAGCUGACUGGUCCCAGGACUGCUGGUAAUCUUCAUUUAGGAAAGUCAGUUCUCGGUCACGAAGCGUGUGCUCUCCUAGCUGUGUAGACCCUUAGCCCAGAAAAAACAAACUGACCAGGAGCAUUGGGGUUUUCUUAAGCUUCCACUACAUUUAAAAAUACGAAGCCUUGUCCACUAUCCUUCGCAAAGGCUGCCCUUCGUUAAAUCUGUUCCUCACUGGGGCAAAUGAGACCUAUCAUGGGAGGGUGGCCUGACCAUCUGUGCCACCCACCCAAAGAGCGCGGCCACAUCUAGAUCCCUUCCCUGCGGUGUGCUGUGAUUGUCGCGCAUGUGAUGCUGCCAGUUCUGGGUGGAACAUCUGCCUCAGAAAGCAAGUGCUGACAUUAUCACUGUGAUUGGAACUGAGAAUGGAAAUUCUACCCUCGGUGGGGUUCUCCUCAGAGGAACACUCGCUGCCAGAUCUGGGGGGGCCACGUGGCUCAGGUGGCACGAGCGGGAGCAGGGGAGCUCAGGUGGGUCUCACGCUGCCUUGGAGACAGCUGUGCCCACCUCCUGCCCAGUCUGUAGAAGGAGGGCUUCCGGAAGAUGUGUCUGGUCCGCUGGAGAAGGUCGUUCCUGACCUGUGGAAUGUGAAGCCAGGGAGCCUAUUUAUGGCCUUUAUGCUUCUGUGUCCACAAAUUCAAAUACAUCAAGUUUCAAAUCAAAUAGUCAAGUUGCAAAUGCUAGAAAUCACUUCCAAGAAAAUUCAAAUUACGCUUUCCACCCUUUUUCUGAUUUGCUGUUUUUAAGGACAGACUUGGGAGAUUCACGAACCAAUUGAUCGCUUGUAUUUGCAUUAAAUAAAAAGCAUUGUAACAAGUCU